CCUACGGGAGGCAGCAGUGGGGAAUUUUGGACAAUGGGCGCAAGCCUGAUCCAGCAAUGCCGCGUGAGUGAAGAAGGCCUUCGGGUUGUAAAGCUCUUUUGUCAGGGAAGAAACGGUGGGAGCUAAUAUCUUCCACUAAUGACGGUACCUGAAGAAUAAGCACCGGCUAACUACGUGCCAGCAGCCGCGGUAAUACGUAGGGUGCAAGCGUUAAUCGGAAUUACUGGGCGUAAAGCGUGCGCAGGCGGUUUUGUAAGUCUGUCGUGAAAGCCCCGGGCUCAACCUGGGAAUUGCGAUGGAGACUGCAAGGCUUGAAUCUGGCAGAGGGGGGUAGAAUUCCACGUGUAGCAGUGAAAUGCGUAGAGAUGUGGAGGAACACCGAUGGCGAAGGCAGCCCCCUGGGUCAAGAUUGACGCUCAUGCACGAAAGCGUGGGGAGCAAACAGGAUUAGAUACCCUGGUAGUCCACGCCCUAAACGAUGUCUACUAGUUGUCGGGUUUUAAUAACCUUGGUAACGCAGCUAACGCGUGAAGUGACCGCCUGGGGAUACGGUGCAAGNUUAAAACNCAAAUGAGUGAGNGNGAGAGAGCGACGACGACGACGAGGAGGAGG
This 612-nucleotide ribosomal RNA is filed under the name uncultured bacterium. Its description in RNAcentral is "bacterial SSU rRNA". It matches the Rfam family "Bacterial small subunit ribosomal RNA", at positions 338 to 944 of the family's 1533-position model. The record is from RNAcentral.